Non-coding RNA from Trabulsiella guamensis ATCC 49490, 154 nucleotides. Lineage: Bacteria; Pseudomonadati; Pseudomonadota; Gammaproteobacteria; Enterobacterales; Enterobacteriaceae. The record is from Rfam.
UCGACACGAUAUCGAUGGCGACACCAGUCAACUUACUGGUGUGUGGAAGCAGACUGAUUAAUUUCAGCCCGGUGUAAACCGCGAACAGGUCAGAGACCUGGGGAGCUUCGCAAUAACUCAACAUUUCGCCGCCCCGAUGCACAGAUAUCUGUCG